GAUGAAGAACGUAGCGAAAUGCGAUAAGUAAUGUGAAUUGCAGAAUUCAGUGAAUCAUCGAAUCUUUGAACGCACAUUGCGCCCGCCAGUAUUCUGGCGGGCAUGCCUGUUCGAGCGUCAUUACAACCCUCAGGCCCCCGGGCCUGGCGUUGGGGAUCGGCGGAGCCCCCCGUGGGCACACGCCGUCCCCCAAAUGCAGUGGCGGUCCCGCCGCAGCUUCCAUCGCGUAGUAGCUAACACCUCGCGACUGGAGAGCGGCGCGGCCACGCCGUAAAACACCCAACACUUCUGAAGUUGACCUCGAAUCAGGUAGGAAUACCCGCUGAACUUAAGCAUAUCAAUAAGCGGAGGA
This 352-nucleotide unclassified non-coding RNA is filed under the name soil metagenome. RNAcentral describes it as "partial contains 5.8S ribosomal RNA, internal transcribed spacer 2, and large subunit ribosomal RNA". The stretch from base 1 to 120 matches the Rfam family "5.8S ribosomal RNA", at positions 35 to 154 of the family's 154-position model. The record is from RNAcentral.